This is a long non-coding RNA of Carassius auratus (goldfish), 6656 nucleotides long. RefSeq lists it as uncharacterized. The transcript is spliced from 10 exons. Lineage: Eukaryota; Metazoa; Chordata; Actinopteri; Cypriniformes; Cyprinidae. The record is from RefSeq and is a predicted model, not a curated record.
ACCAAUACUCUCUCUCUCUCUCUCUCUUCACACUAACACCAGAGACAAAGGAAGAGAUGUGAGAAAAAGAGAGAUAGCACAGAGUGGAAGCUGAAAAUGUUGUUUUUGCUUUGACUGCACUAAGAUCUGCCUCUAUUAUUACCUGCCGCUUGUUAUUUGUUUCUCUUUUUAGUCUCAUCUACCACUACCCAAUUUCUCCAAAGGGGAUUGAAAGAACGCAAGUGGGUGUCGGUAAAAGACUGAUUUUUCAUCCCUUCUCUUGUGACUAGGACCAAGCUGACCUCCACCUCCUACUGUGCCUUUGGAAUAUCUUAUUACUUGGAUUUCUGUUUGACAUUUAAGAGUAUCUGAAUCCAAGAGCUUGGAUGUUGUUGUUGUUGUUUACUUGAGGAUUUUUUCACCCCUUAAACUAUCUUUUGUCACACGAGGAUCAUGGUUGGAUGUUUGAAUUUUUAUAAAUUUUUGCAUAUUAGUGAAUUUUGAUACAUUCUUUGAAGUAAAGGCUCUGGCAACGACAUGACUGAUACUAUUAGGAGAGUACACAGGAAUCAGUAAUAACCAGGAUUCAGAUUAGAAAUAGACAGUGGUCUCUGUUGUUUAGUCUGAAAGAGAGAUCAAGUUCAUCUGAGGCCAUGAAGAAAAUCUGGUCAAAGAAAAGAUUUCAGAGAGCUGGACAUUCUAGCUGGACGUUUGGGAGAUUCACUCAUGUGAAGUUUUUCACUUGUGCAGGAAGGAAAGCAAUGACUCAAACAGUACAGAGGAUGAAACUGAAGAGCCUCAGGUCUCCAUGGAGAUGAAGGAACAGUAUAUGCCUUCCCAGGGGGAAGCAAUAAAGAAUCAACCCACUGGCCGGGGGAGGGCAAUGCUUUUCCAUAUCCCAGGUGAUGGUCCAGUAGUAGAGAGAGAGAUGCAAGCUCUGGGCUCUAGAGCUCCUGGUCUUCAGGAUCCCUUGUCACCUGGCAGGCAAGCAAAUGCUGGGUGUGUUGAGAGCCCUCCAGCCAGACACCUGGGGAUUGAAGCUCUUGUGCGGGCCUCACAAAUAAGUGUGUACUAUGUGGCACUGGGGUCAGAGGAGAGUAUGUCAAUAGCCAGUGACUACUAUGGCAGUGUUUUGAGCCUCUAUCGAAGAAGGACCUUUUCCAUUUAUAGUGUUCAAUAAUGAGCGCUGGCACACUGGAUAUGAAAAGGUAUAACGUAACUUGAAUCGAGGUGGGACAAAUCAAAUUUAGAUUACAGCUCUAAUGGAACAUUUUAAAAAUAGUUUGCAUUACUUUAUUCUUCAUUUAUCGUGGCCUAUUUAUCUCAACCAUGUCAUGUUAUUUAUGUUUCCUUGAUUCCUACUUUCCCGUGGCUCCACUUGCAUAGUUUUUUGUUUAUGUUUUUUUUUUCUUACAAACUAUUUUGCAUGCCAUUGCAUUUGUAUGCUAAUUGCAGUCUUUUUUGUUUAUUAAUCUCCAGCAGUGCUUUACAUCUUUCAACAUGGCAUGUGUUUCAGUGCAUGUUUUAUUGUAUAACUAUGACAUUUUACUUUCUUUCACUCAAAAUGCACUAGUAACAAAAUAUCCACACAAUUUAUUUAUUUUUAUUUUUUUUUGACACAGAUUUGCCAUUUUAAUAUUUUUAUUUUCUGUCAUAAUGCAACAUUUUCAACAGUCACCCUUAUUUCAGGAGCUAGUUUGACUUUAUGACAGGGAAACAUUUCCAUUUGUUCAAACCAAGCCAUUCCAAAAAGCGAGUGAUGUUGAGCCAACAACAGAUCCAACAAAAAACAGGCAUUAAUGGAGCUGAGCUACCUUUUGAAAUCUCAAAAAUCUCAUAUUCAUGUCAAAGCAGUGGUUCCAAAGAUAAAUUCUCACUCCAACCCCAAAAAGCGUCACAGGCAAGUUCCAAAAUAUUUGAUAAAGUGAGAGCUUUUGAUGAAUAAAAACACAGCAGUAACAUACCAAAGUUGUCUUCUUCAAGACUAUCAUGGGAUCUGAAUCGAACAUCAUCCUGCAAUUCUGAGGAUAGUACAAGUAAAUCAGGGAAGCCCCAAGACAACUUCAAGAGUGAUGUAACACCCAAGAGGUCUUUCUUCAAACAGAAGGCAUCCUCUCUGUAGGAACAGUCAACCCAUGUAUAGAAACAGUUUCAGAAUAAACUCUCAAUAGAGCUUAACCGAAUAAAAAAAUAUUUGAACAUCAAUAAAGCAUUUUUAGUGGAACAGCGCACCCAGACUGGCAAGCAGUCCACUGGAAACACUUAUUUCCAGUUAUUUCCAGCCCAGGUAAUUCUGAAGGUUGAAGACACUACUAAUUCAAAAGAUUUACCAUAAUCAAAAGAAGGAUGAUCAACAUUUCCAAAGGAGGAAUCACCACAACUACAGAGAAAGAAAUUGGCAGAUGAAUCAAAACAACCUGAAAGAAAAUCACCUUUUGAUAUUACGGGAAACCAGUGGAAGAAAAAUUUCUAAGCCCAGGUGGUUGUUAGACACGCAAUUCUUCAAUGAAAAGGUCAUGUUCAGUAAAACACCAGAACAGUGUUCACCUAAGAUGCCAAGGACAAGAAUGUUCAGCAAAUUCCCCAAAUCACCUGUAGAAAUAUCACUUGCUCAACCCAUAAUUCAAGGGGGGUUAGUGCAAGCAACCCUAAAACCUCCAAGGUUGUUUGGUUCAGUUUCCGUGCUCCCAAAGUCAUUAAAGAAAACAGAGGAGGAAAAAAAGACUCAUCACUUAUUGCGAAAAAGACCAUACCUACUAUUGUGGUUGAAAAUAAGCCUGUUGGUGAAGAGGCAGAUAAAACAAAGUGUUGUCAAAAAGAAGUUGAGAAAUAUGAAGGAAAAACAACUAGAAGAAACAGAGAAGACCAGUCAGAUGCCACUUAAGAAUGCUGUGGUAGCUGCUCGAUCAGAGGUAAUGCUUCAGUAUGUCAACAAGGGAAAACCUGUUCCCAGAGUUUCUGCUGAGUCAUCUCUGACAAUUGCCAGACCAAUGCAGGAUGUAAAGGUCAAGGCAGGAGAGAUAGCUAUAUUUGAAUGUUUUCAAACUGGUCCACAGGCUGUGGAUGUUGAUUGGCUGGCUAAUUGGAAGUUUAUACACCCCGCACUAUUUCAUUGUAAGAUGCAAUUUACCUUCUGUUAAAAUCUGUGCAAGAUGACAACAGUGGAAGCUAUACUUGUAAAAUCAGUUCAGCAAAAGGUAAGAGUCCUAUAACAACAUUCCAAAUUGAGCAUAGCUCUUACAUCAUUUAUGCAUUAACAUCGAGUUGCCUAUUCUUUAAUGUUAUGUUAAUCUUGUUUCUUAGUAAUGCUUAUUUGUUUGCAAUUACAUCAUUUUCUCAAAUGCUAACACACUGAUUCAUUUGGCCCAAUUUUCAAAACCAUUAAAGACUCGUUUCUCAAAAUGUUUAACACAUUUCUCCUGUUUGUACACACGGGCCAAUUUGCAAAAGGCUAAAAAUAAAAAAAGCAAAGAAAAGCUCUUCUGAACUCUAUAUAAAGGAGUCACUACCAGGCAUAUCUACUUGCAUGUAAAAAGACAACCUCUUCUUAACAAUGUCUAAUAAAAAAACACCCCCCCCCCCCCCCCCAAAAAAAAAAUUCAAUUGUUACCUUUCUUUACCCCUUUUCUGUAUUGAUUGUUAUUAUUCACUAUUCAGGUCAUGGUUACAGAAAAUGCAUUCAGUGUAUGUGUGUGUGUGUAUGUAUGUUUGUGUGUGUGUUUAAAACCAUGUAAAAAAAAUGUAGCUAUGGGAUGUAGUGUGUCAGAUGGUUCAGACUCAAUGGACAAACUAGUAAUAGUGGGUUUUCCAUCCAAAUGUAGGCAAAACUAUAUAUCAGCUUAUCCCUAAAAGUUCCAAACAAGUCACAUUUCUAUCACUUUUGAUAUAGAAGCUUUAUAACAAAUACAUUUUUUAUAGCAGAAAUUAUGAAAUAUAAUUAAGAGUAUCAGUGUCUCUAAAAGGCAGCUUUAGUAAAAUGUUUACCUUUUCCCCUGAUUUUCUCUAAUUUUCAAUGUCCUUUUUCAUUUCAUGUCCUGCUUCACUUAUGUGCAUUGUUCAACAACAAGCUCUAGGCUUAGGCCAACUCAUUGACUGAGGUACUGAGAAGAAUUGUACUUGAAUUCUGUCUCUACUCACAUCAGAGAAAUGUGGAGAUAUCUGUUACUUUCUUAUGACAUAUUUAUUAAUUCUGUCCCUGAUUACACAUGUAUCUACUGCUAUUCUGCACUUUUAAUGAAUGAAAUGGUCAUGCCUAUAGUCUUACUUCAGCACAGCGGGCAAAAGCAAACCCACAUAAAUCUUUUGUCUUGCAAAAUGCUGGCUGUGUCAUUUCUUGAUUUUUGCACAUUGCAUGUAGACUUGAUAAAAUAAUUUAUUAUCAUUAUUUUAAUUGUUUUUAUAUCACAGGACAGUACUUGCAAAAAGCUCCAGUCAUUCAGGACAAGCCUGAUAUUGUUUAUGAACCAGCCUGUCACCAUCACAAUAAAACUUAAUCAUGUCUAAUCAAACUCAUGGAAAAGGUUAGUGACAAAUACAAACCAAACAUUCAAAAUGCAGUAUAAAUUGUGUAUUACAUUAACAUAAUAUUAAGUAAGCCAUUGUUUACUAGAAGUGGUGCUUCUCAACAAACCUGAUGUAUUAGAGAUGACCAUGCCUGAUGAUGACCAGGAUAUUUCAGUAUAUUUUAGUGCCCCCUUCAUUUGAGACCAUCAUGGAGGACUUGGAUGUGUGGGGAAAACAUGUAUUUUUGCUACGGUUGUAGACAGAAAACCUGACCCUAUUAUCCUCUGAUACAAGGUCAGUUUGCACUAUUGACUAUUACGCCAACUGAAAUGUCACUGAACAUUUUUUCUGUCCUUAGUGAUUCCGUGCUAUAUGACUUUCAGGAUAAUAUCCUUCUGUCACAGAGCAGUCAUUUUACCUUUGUGUAUAAUGACAGAGAGUGCUCGCUUGUGAUUCUUAAUGCCAGAAGCAGAUCUAGAGAGUAAUUCACCAAGAAAACACUAGCUAUGUAUGUUUAAAUUAGCAGUGUUAUGUCACUUACAUAUACAUGUCUGAUGAAUGUCUCCAUUUAGAUAGCAAAGUAAAUGUGUGUAGGUGUACUCACAAUUUCACAGCCAAAAAUGUGGACGAGGAGGAAGAUCAAAUGGAAGAUGAAGGCACAAUUCUACGGUGGACGCAUAGGAUGACUGAUUAAUGUGACAUACACAAACAGAUUGGCAGGUCAGACACCAUACAAGAAGGACACUCCUGUUUAUAAUUCCUUUAUUCCGCCACUGGGUGAUAUAGUCUAGUAUGGUCAAGUUUUUAUAGAUUGUUCAGUUUUUUAGAACACUUUUUAGAACACUUAAUUCAGUGUUCUCAGAUGACUCUAGUUUUCUCUUCCAGAUUUUGUUACUCUGAAGAUGAUGUAGUUGGCUUUGUUGUCCAGAUUCUUCAGUGGUUAGAAUAUCUCCACAGCUGCCGGAUUCUUCAUCUUGACAUUAAUCCAGACAACUUCAUGGUCACCAACCUCAACCUCAACCUCAAUUCAUGUCAUAGAUUUUGGCAGUGCUGAAAGUUUUAAUCCUCUCUGCCUCCAACCAUACAGCAGAGAACUCGGGACUCUGGAGUACAAGGCUCCAGAAUUGUUGAAAGGUGAUCUAGUAGGACCCCUAAGCUGACAUUGAGUUCAUUCCUAUAUUAUACUCAGCGUUAGGCUUCCUUUCCGAGACAAAUACCCAAAUCUGACAGAGACCAAAAUCCAUGCCACAAAGUUUGAUUCAACUAAGCUCUACCCAAAGGUGUCCCAAAGUGCCUCCACAUUUUUUGAGAAGAUAUUAAAUGGCUAUCCAUGGUGUUGACCCACCAUUAAGGACUGCCUCAAUCAUUCAUGGCUUCAUAACUCUAAAUCUAAAGAAGCUGGGUCGACAGACCUUGACUUUCACUACUACACAGCUCAAGGAAUUCCAGGAGGAGCAUCAGCGAAGAUGUGCAGAGACGACUACUAAACACAAGGUCCUCCUAAGAGUCUACCAGAGUGGGUCUUCAUCCCCAGCCUCACUGACUAAGCCUAGCUCAACAAUUGAAGAAUAAAAAAAUAUGGACUUUGAACAGGAUAUGGUAAUGAAUUUCUUCAGAGCUGGAAAAUCUUUGGAAAUUAUACCCAGAGGUUUCCUUGAUGACACCCAUAAUAAGAGUAAUAUUAGAACAAAAUAGACUAUAUUUAAAAAAAUAAAAUAAAUGUAAUAUAUGUCAAUGGUGUUGAUCAUAAUUGGUUGAUAGCUUGGUGAUGGACAUUAAAUAAGGUUUCAAUACUGGAUUCAGUUAACUUUGGAUCGGUAAUUAUACCCGAAUGUAUGUUUUUUUAAAGCAUUGUCAUUUAGUUUUUUAUGUACAAUAGUUUGCUACAUGUGAUGCAUUGAUUUGGACUUAAAUUUGAACUGAGAAUCAAUUUAAGAAUUACAGAAACAGGUAAUAAGGCCUGUCCAUGAAGAAGAAUACAGUAAUACUGUUUUCUGCAUUUCAUAAAAACAUUGUUUUCUUUGAGAAUUCUUAAAAUACACAAACUUAUCUGCAGUGUAAAAUGCUGAUUUGUCAGUGUUUUAAAUAUAUAGAGUGUAAACAACUAAUUAAGCUUUAUUAAAGUUUAGACACAUUAUUCAGUGGCGUUCCAACACUGUCAAUACAUUCAGUUU